GGCUUAUCUCAGAAUCGAUUCUUCAAUCAUUGUUUUAUUUUUCACAGUGUUUUAUUCACAUUAGUUUAGGACAGGGACAUUCUUGAAUUUUGCCACAUGCUCAGUAGCACUCUCUCUGCAGCAGUUACCCGUUGAUAUGACAGGGAAAAUCAAAUCUUCAUGGUUUGGUUUCCUGUGCAAUCGAAGUUAACAACCUCAUCAAUAAAUAACAACUAAUUAUUAUUAUUUUUCUGAGCAAAAAAAAGUCAAGUUCUACUCAUCGUACUCAUUGCAGGACUGAGACUGGAUUUCUAGUUGGUGUCUAAGACCUCCAUGUGAUGAGUGCCAUCUGCAGAAUACCACCACUUCCUCAAGAUCAGUUCUAGGCUUGCCCGUUCAGCUGAUGAACUCAGCCUUCCUCACUGACUGAAUGAAUGAAAAAGAAGCACGAUUCGAUCAGUUCCAAGCAGUGAUGCUGAAAACCAGAAGUGCGGUGCCAGACGCUAAUAAAGCAAAAGUAAUCGGUGAAGUCCCAAACAGAAGUGAGGAAGCUGUCUCCCGCAGACCACAGUUCCUUCGUGAACAGGAACAGUAG
RNAcentral lists this long non-coding RNA (574 nucleotides) under Numida meleagris (helmeted guineafowl). Its description in RNAcentral is "lncRNA (ENSNMEG00000001382.1)". The record is from RNAcentral. Lineage: Eukaryota; Metazoa; Chordata; Aves; Galliformes; Numididae.